Molecule: unclassified non-coding RNA, 375 nt
Filed under: uncultured Gammaproteobacteria bacterium
Lineage: Bacteria; Pseudomonadati; Pseudomonadota; Gammaproteobacteria
Description: contains 16S-23S intergenic spacer region
Source: RNAcentral
UCCGGUUCAUCACCGGCAGUCUCCUUAGAGUCCCCAACUUAAUGCUGGCAACUAAGGACAAGGGUUGCGCUCGUUACGGGACUUAACCCAACAUCUCACAACACGAGCUGACGACAGCCAUGCAGCACCUGUCUCCAGGUUCCUUUCGGCACUCCCAAAUCUCUCUGGGAUUCCUAGGAUGUCAAGGGUAGGUAAGGUUCUUCGCGUUGCAUCGAAUUAAACCACAUGCUCCACCGCUUGUGCGGGCCCCCGUCAAUUUCUUUGAGUUUCAACCUUGCGGCCGUACUUCCCAGGCGGAUGACUUAUCGCGUUAGCUUCGAUACCGAAGGGUUCCCCCUCCAACAUCUAGUCAUCAUCGUUUACAGCGUGGACUAC